Cucumis sativus (cucumber) is the source of this 1353-nucleotide RNA transcript. RefSeq lists it as uncharacterized. The transcript has 4 exons. The record is from RefSeq and is a predicted model, not a curated record. NCBI's taxonomy places the organism in Eukaryota, Viridiplantae, Streptophyta, Magnoliopsida, Cucurbitales, Cucurbitaceae.
UCCUCUCUCCAACUCUGUUGCGGACACGUUUUAAAGACAGAGAGAAAAGAGAGAAGCGAGAAUUCAAAAGCCAAGGAAAAUGGGAAGUGAUUUCUUUACCGAAUCUCAAACGUGGGUUUCUUCUGUUAACGGAAUUCGAGAAGACCCAGAUGAUGAAACUUCCAUUGACGGAGGUGAGGGAAUUGGGACGGAUUCGGAUUUCGAUGAGUCGGCUCAAAUGGGGGUGAAGAAGAGGAUGAUGAAGAAGAGGAGUCAGGUUUUGCUUGAAGGGUUUGUUGAGGAUGAGGAUGAUUUGAUGAGGACUAAGAGCUUGACGGAUGAGGAUCUUGAUGAGCUUAAAGGCUGUGUAGAUCUAGGCUUUGGUUUUAGCUAUGAUGAGAUUCCGGAGCUCUGUAACACUCUCCCGGCUUUGGAGCUCUGUUAUUCCAUGAGCCAGAAGUACAUGGACGAUCACCAGAAGUCGCCGGAGAGUUCGCCGGCUUCGGCGGUUCCGGCCGACUCUUGCUCUUCUGUUUCCAGUCCGAUUGCGAAUUGGAAGAUCUCCAGUCCUGGUGAUCAUCCAGAAGAUGUUAAAGCGAGGCUCAAAUUUUGGGCUCAGGCAGUGGCAUGUACUGUUAGACUAUGCAACUAAGAAGACCAUGGAAUGGAAGUUUUGAUUUGGGAUGAGAAAAUGAAUGCAUCUUUUUGCACUAGUAACCUAGCCUUAUGGUUUGACGACGUUGCAAAGGUUCCAAGAAAAGAUAGAUUGAAUGAUUGAAUGAACAAACGGGUCGUUUGAUGAGUCUGACUUAUGAAGAAGAAGAAGAAGAAGAAUGUGUCAGUGGUUUUGACUUUGAGAGCUUAGCUUCCAUAACCACACCCAACACCCAAGUCUCUUUCACUGACCUUUUUGCAUAUGGCUGAGGUUUUUCCAAAGGAAAGCACAGGGCAGAAAGUUCAUUCUUUGUUGUUUCAAUGUCUAAGUAGAGAAAUUUUUGGUUUCUUAUUUUGGGUUGUUGGUGGGUAAUGUCCUCUAGUUUCUGCCAUUCAACAACUUGAAAUUAGAGGCCGGGGAACUUAACAGUCUUGAUUUCGUCUCUACUUCUGAUUUUCUAAUCUACCUGAGGGCCUUGAUGCCAAAGGAAAAGGAAAUCUUUGGUUUAUGUUGUAUUUGUAGAAAGGUUGUUGCCUUAUGAUGUCCUUGUAGUUUAGUUCUUGAGUUCAGGCCAUGGUUUUGCCAAAGAGAAGAGAAGAUUGGGAGAAUUUAACUUUACUUUUUUGUUUGUCUCAAAAGCGUUUGACAACCAACAUGUAAUUGAGAUGGAUGAUUAAAUUAAUAAAACGAUUGAAAGAUCUAUCACAUCCUUAUUGGUA